Molecule: ribosomal RNA, 468 nt
Filed under: uncultured bacterium
Lineage: Bacteria
Description: partial 16S ribosomal RNA
Rfam family: Bacterial small subunit ribosomal RNA
Source: RNAcentral
GACGAACGCUGGCGGCGUGCUUAACACAUGCAAGUCGAACGGAAAGGCCCUGCUUUUGUGGGGUGCUCGAGUGGCGAACGGGUGAGUAACACGUGAGUAACCUGCCCUUGACUUUGGGAUAACUUCAGGAAACUGGGGCUAAUACCGGAUAGGAGCUCCGGCUGCAUGGUGGGGGUUGGAAGGUUUCGGCGGUUGGGGAUGGACUCGCGGCUUAUCAGCUUGUUGGUGGGGUAGUGGCUUACCAAGGCUUUGACGGGUAGCCGGCCUGAGAGGGUGACCGGCCACAUUGGGACUGAGAUACGGCCCAGACUCCUACGGGAGGCAGCAGUGGGGAAUAUUGCACAAUGGGCGGAAGCCUGAUGCAGCAACGCCGCGUGCGGGAUGACGGCCUUCGGGUUGUAAACCGCUUUCGCCUGUGACGAAGCGUGAGUGACGGUAAUGGGUAAAGAAGCACCGGCUAACUACGUG